AGUGAACGCUGGCGGUAGGCCUAACACAUGCAAGUCGAACGGCAGCACAGUAAGAGCUUGCUCUUACGGGUGGCGAGUGGCGGACGGGGGAGGAAUACAUCGGAAUCUACUUUUUCGUGGGGGAGAACGUAGGGAAACUUACGCUAAUACCGCAUACGACCUACGGGUGAAAGCAGGGGAUCUUCGGACCUUGCGCGAUUGAAUGAGCCGAUGUCGGAUUAGCUAGUUGGCGGGGUAAAGGCCCACCAAGGCGACGAUCCGUAGCUGGUCUGAGAGGAUGAUCAGCCACACUGGAACUGAGACACGGUCCAGACUCCUACGGGAGGCAGCAGUGGGGAAUAUUGGACAAUGGGCGAAAGCCUGAUCCAGCCAUACCGCGUGGGUGAAGAAGGCCUUCGGGUUGUAAAGCCCUUUUGUUUGGAAAGAAAAGCAGCAGGUUAAUACCCCGCUGUUCUGACGGUACCCAAAGAAUAAGCACCGGCUAACUUCGUG
This 492-nucleotide ribosomal RNA is filed under the name uncultured bacterium. RNAcentral describes it as "partial 16S ribosomal RNA". It matches the Rfam family "Bacterial small subunit ribosomal RNA", at positions 29 to 507 of the family's 1533-position model. The record is from RNAcentral.